This 406-nucleotide ribosomal RNA is filed under the name uncultured bacterium. RNAcentral's name for it is "partial 16S ribosomal RNA". It matches the Rfam family "Bacterial small subunit ribosomal RNA", at positions 29 to 526 of the family's 1533-position model. The record is from RNAcentral.
AUUGAACGCUGGCGGCAGGCCUAACACAUGCAAGUCGAACGAGUGGCGGACGGGUGAGUAAUGUCUGGGAAACUGCCAGAGGGAGGGGGAUAACUACGGGAAACGGUAGCUAAUACGGAAUACCAUAGGAGGUGCCCAGAUGGGAUUGGCUAGUAGGUGGGGUAACGGCUCACCUAGGCGACGAUCCCUAGCUGGUAGGAGAGGAUGACCAGCCACACUGGAACUGAGACACGGUCCAGACUCCUACGGGAGGCAGCAGUGGGGAAUAUUGCACAAUGGGCGCAAGCCUGAUGCAGCCAUGCCGCGUGUAUGAAGAAGGCCUUCGGGUUGUAAAGUACUUUCAGCGAGGAGGCGUUACUCGCAGAAGAAGCACCGGCUAACUCCGUGCCAGCAGCCGCGGUAAUUC